CUCGUAUGUUUGUUCCUCUUCACCGAUACAGAGCGGCAUUCAACUGAAUGAAACGAAUAAACACAAGGCACACGAACACCUAUUACAUGAUCAGUUGCAUUUGUUAGUUUAAUGGUAAAAACUCCCAAAAGAAGAACAGUCAAAGCAUACAACCACCUGGAACUAUUUUGUGGCUUCACAUCAUGGUUGUCCGGUCUAAACUUCACUCAAAUGGCGUUCCUAUUCUACCGAAUGGAUCU
Non-coding RNA from Pelobates cultripes (western spadefoot toad), 239 nucleotides. The record is from the annotation of a GenBank genome assembly. NCBI's taxonomy places the organism in Eukaryota, Metazoa, Chordata, Amphibia, Anura, Pelobatidae.